This 29-nucleotide non-coding RNA is filed under the name Mus musculus (house mouse). The record is from RNAcentral. Lineage: Eukaryota; Metazoa; Chordata; Mammalia; Rodentia; Muridae.
UCCUCCAAGAUUAAGAAACAUUGUGCCCU